UACAGAGGUCUCAAGCGUUGUUCGGAAUUACUGGGCGUAAAGCGUGCGCAGGCGGUUUUGUAAGCCAGAUGUGAAAUCCCCGGGCUUAACCUGGGAAUGGCAUUUGGGACUGCAAGGCUCGAGUGCGGCAGAGGAGACUGGAAUUCCUGGUGUAGCAGUGAAAUGCGUAGAUAUCAGGAGGAACACCGAUGGCGAAGGCAGGUCUCUGGGCUGACACUGACGCUCAUGCACGAAAGCGUGGGGAGCAAACAGG
This 253-nucleotide ribosomal RNA is filed under the name uncultured bacterium. Its description in RNAcentral is "partial 16S ribosomal RNA". It matches the Rfam family "Bacterial small subunit ribosomal RNA", at positions 524 to 776 of the family's 1533-position model. The record is from RNAcentral.